GUCCCCAGUGUUGUCACCGUCCCCAACACCCGGAGCCGUCCCCAGCGCUGUCACCGUCACCAACACUCGGAGCCGUCCCCAACACCCAGAGCUCUUGCCAACACCCGGAGCCGUCCCCAGUGUCGUCACCGUCACCAACAUCCGGAUUUGUCCCCAACACCUGGAGUUGUCCCCAGUGUUGUCACCGUCACCAACACCUGGAGCCAUCCCCAGUGUCGUCACCGUCACCAACACCCGGAGUUGUCCCCAACACCCGGAGCCAUCCCCAGUCUUGUCACCGUCACCAACACCAGGACUUGUCCCCAACACCCGGAGUUGUCCCCAGUGUUGGCACCGUCACUGUCACCAUAAGCCAUCCCCAGUGUUGUCACUGUCACCAACACCCAGACUUGUCCCCAACACCUGGAGUUGUCCCCAGUGUUGUCACCGUCACCAACACCCGGACUUGUCCCCAACACCUGGAGUUGUCCCCACUGUUGUCACCGUCCCCAACACCCGGAGCUGUCACCGUCACCGUCCCUGACAACACCCGGUGCUGUCACUGUCCCCAGCAACACCCGGAGCCGUGAUUGUCCCCAACACCCGGCGCUGUCACCGUCCCCACCAACACCUGGAGCUGUCACCGUCCCCAACACCCGGCGCUGUCACUGUCACCGUCCCCACCAACACCUGGAGCUGUGAUUGUCCCCAAGACACAACGCUGUCACCGUCACCGUCCCCACCAACACCCGGAGCUGUCACUGUCCCCACCAACACCUGGAGCCGUGAUUGUCCCCAACACCCGGUGCUGUCACCAUCACCGUCCCCAACACCCAACGCUGUCACCGUCACCGUCCCCACCAACACCCGGAGCCGUGAUUGUCCCCAACGCCCGGCGCUGUCACCGUCACCGUCCCCGCCAACACCCGGAGCUGUGAUUGUCCCCAACAACACCUGGAGCUGUCACCAUCCCCACCAACACCCGGAGCUGUGGCUGUUGUGUCACCCCAAUAAAGACU
This 998-nucleotide long non-coding RNA is filed under the name Numida meleagris (helmeted guineafowl). RNAcentral describes it as "lncRNA (ENSNMEG00000001038.1)". Lineage: Eukaryota; Metazoa; Chordata; Aves; Galliformes; Numididae. The record is from RNAcentral.